GACGAACGCUGGCGGCGUGCCUAAUACAUGCAAGUCGAACGAGAGCGACCGGUGCUUGCACUGGUCAAUCUAGUGGCGAACGGGUGAGUAACACGUGGGUAACCUGCCCAUCAGAGGGGGAUAACAUUCGGAAACGGAUGCUAAAACCGCAUAGGUCUUCGAACCGCAUGGUUUGAAGAGGAAAAGAGGCGCAAGCUUCUGCUGAUGGAUGGACCCGCGGUGCAUUAGCUAGUUGGUGAGGUAACGGCUCACCAAGGCCGUGAUGCAUAGCCGACCUGAGAGGGUGAUCGGCCACAUUGGGACUGAGACACGGCCCAAACUCCUACGGGAGGCAGCAGUAGGGAAUCUUCCGCAAUGGACGCAAGUCUGACGGAGCAACGCCGCGUGAGUGAAGAAGGUUUUCGGAUCGUAAAACUCUGUUGUUAGAGAAGAACAAGUGCCAGAGUAACUGUUAGCGCCUUGACGGUAUCUAACCAGAAAG
This 481-nucleotide ribosomal RNA is filed under the name Granulicatella adiacens. Its description in RNAcentral is "bacterial SSU rRNA". It matches the Rfam family "Bacterial small subunit ribosomal RNA", at positions 28 to 490 of the family's 1533-position model. The record is from RNAcentral. Lineage: Bacteria; Bacillati; Bacillota; Bacilli; Lactobacillales; Carnobacteriaceae.